Molecule: ribosomal RNA, 746 nt
Filed under: uncultured bacterium
Lineage: Bacteria
Description: bacterial SSU rRNA
Rfam family: Bacterial small subunit ribosomal RNA
Source: RNAcentral
GUGCCAGCAGCCGCGGUAAUACGUAGGGCGCAAGCGUUAUCCGGAAUUAUUGGGCGUAAAGAGCUCGUAGGCGGUUUGUCGCGUCUGCUGUGAAAACGCGGGGCUCAACUCCGCGCCUGCAGUGGGUACGGGCAGACUAGAGUGCGGUAGGGGAGAUUGGAAUUCCUGGUGUAGCGGUGGAAUGCGCAGAUGUCAGGAGGAACACCGAUGGCGAAGGCAGAUCUCUGGGCCGUGACUGACGCUGAGGAGCGAAAGGGUGGGGAGCAAACAGGCUUAGAUACCCUGGUAGUCCACCCCGUAAACGUUGGGAACUAGUUGUGGGGGCCUUUCCACGGUCUCCGUGACGCAGCUAACGCAUUAAGUUCCCCGCCUGGGGAGUACGGCCGCAAGGCUAAAACUCAAAGGAAUUGACGGGGACCCGCACAAGCGGCGGAGCAUGCGGAUUAAUUCGAUGCAACGCGAAGAACCUUACCAAGGCUUGACAUACACCGGAAACGUCCAGAGAUGGUCGCCCCUUUUUGGUCGGUGUACAGGUGGUGCAUGGUUGUCGUCAGCUCGUGUCGUGAGAUGUUGGAUUAAGUCCCGCAACGAGCGCAACCCUCGUUCUAUGUUGCCAGCACGUUAUGGUGGGAACUCAUGGGAUACUGCCGGGGUCAACUCGGAGGAAGGUGGGGAUGACGUCAAAUCAUCAUGCCCCUUAUGUCUUGGGCUUCACGCAUGCUACAAUGGCCGGUACAAUGGGCUGC